GACGAACCGUGCGAACGUUAUUCGGAUUCACUGGGCUUAAAGGGCGCGUAGGCGGGCUCGCCAGUCAGGGGGGAAAGCCCACGGCUCAACCGUGGAAGUGCCUUUGAUGCUGCGAGUCUCGAGGGAGGUAGGGGCGUGCGGAACUUCCGGUGGAGCGGUGAAAUGCGUAGAUAUCGGAAGGAACACCGGUGGCGAAAGCGGCGCGCUGGACCUCUUCUGACGCUGAGGCGCGAAAGCUAGGGGAGCAAACGGG
This 253-nucleotide ribosomal RNA is filed under the name uncultured bacterium. RNAcentral describes it as "partial 16S ribosomal RNA". It matches the Rfam family "Bacterial small subunit ribosomal RNA", at positions 524 to 776 of the family's 1533-position model. The record is from RNAcentral.